GCGGGCCGUGAGAGCGGGAGCCCGGAGAUGGGCACUGAGACAAGGGCCCAGGUCCUACGGGGCGCAGCAGUCGCGAAAACUUUGCAAUACACGAAAGUGUGACAGGGUCAUCCCGAGUGCCGACCGCUGAGGUUGGCUUUUACCCAGUCUAGAAAGCUGGGGGAAUAAGGAGAGGGCAAGUCUGGUGUCAGCCGCCGCGGUAAUACCAGCUCUCCGAGUGGUGUGGACGUUUAUUGGGCCUAAAGCAUCCGUAGCUGGCUGAACAAGUCCCCUGUUAAACCCACCGAUUUAAUCGUUGGUCUGCGGGGGAUACUGCUCGGCUAGGGGACGAGAGAGGCAGACGGUAUUCCCGGGGUAGGGGUGAAUCCUAUAAUCCCGGGAAGACCCCAGUGGCGAGGCUGUCGGCUAGACGCGCCGA
Molecule: ribosomal RNA, 418 nt
Filed under: uncultured crenarchaeote
Lineage: Archaea; Thermoproteati; Thermoproteota
Description: bacterial SSU rRNA
Rfam family: Archaeal small subunit ribosomal RNA
Source: RNAcentral